Balaenoptera musculus (blue whale) is the source of this 452-nucleotide long non-coding RNA. RefSeq lists it as uncharacterized. Lineage: Eukaryota; Metazoa; Chordata; Mammalia; Artiodactyla; Balaenopteridae. The record is from RefSeq and is a predicted model, not a curated record. The transcript is spliced from 3 exons.
GUCACCACAGAGCAUCGAGUAGAGUUCCCUGUGCUAUACAGUACCAGAUGUGUAGAUGAGUAAGUCUUCUGAUGAUUCCCACACCAGCAUUGUCUGCAAUUGUGGACAGAUUCCAAACAAAACUGCCUAGCUGACCUCACCCAAUCACCCAAACAAUGAGAGGUAACUGCAGAAAUGAGUAUUUCAAGCUAUUUAACAAUUUCUAUUCAUCUGCAUCUAUCCCUUGGAAAUACGAAGGCCACAAAUACAGUAAGUCCCCUACAUACGAACCUUCAAGUUCCGAACUUUCAAAGAGGCGAACGUGCAUCUGGCUCCUUGUUGGAACUGUGCCAUCAGUGUCAGGCGUGAGUGAAACUGCAGCUUGCCUUCCGUCUCCUUUUGCUGACGAUCCUUCAGCUCUACCAUCUCCCACCUCCUCCCUCCUCCAGUCAGUAGCUGUUCUUGCCCGUUCA